Molecule: ribosomal RNA, 426 nt
Filed under: uncultured beta proteobacterium
Lineage: Bacteria; Pseudomonadati; Pseudomonadota; Betaproteobacteria
Description: bacterial SSU rRNA
Rfam family: Bacterial small subunit ribosomal RNA
Source: RNAcentral
UGGGGAAUAUUGGACAAUGGGCGAAAGCCUGAUCCAGCCAUGCCGCGUGAGUGAAGAAGGCCUUCGGGUUGUAAAGCUCUUUUAGUCGGAAAGAAAGAGUCGCAAUGAAUAAUUGUGAUUUAUGACGGUACCGACAGAAAAAGCACCGGCUAACUACGUGCCAGCAGCCGCGGUAAUACGUAGGGUGCGAGCGUUAAUCGGAAUUACUGGGCGUAAAGGGUGCGCAGGCGGUUUUGCAAGUCAGAUGUGAAAGCCCCGGGCUUAACCUGGGAAUUGCGUUUGAAACUACAAGGCUAGAGUGCAGCAGAGGGGAGGGGAAUUCCAUGUGUAGCAGUGAAAUGCGUAGAGAUGGGGAAGACACCGAUGGCGAAGGCAGCUCCCUGGGUUGACACUGACGCUCAUGCACGAAAGCGUGGGGAGCAAACA